UCAGGAUGAACGCUAGCGGCAGGCCUAAUACAUGCAAGUCGGACGGGAUCCGUCGGAGAGCUUGCUCGAAGACGGUGAGAGUGGCGCACGGGUGCGUAACGCGUGAGCAACCUACCUCUAUCAGGGGGAUAGCCUCUCGAAAGAGAGAUUAACACCGCAUAACAUAUGUGACCGGCAUCGGUUAGAUAUUAAAUAUUUAUAGGAUAGAGAUGGGCUCGCGUGACAUUAGCUAGUUGGUAGGGUAACGGCUUACCAAGGCGACGAUGUCUAGGGGCUCUGAGAGGAGAAUCCCCCACACUGGUACUGAGACACGGACCAGACUCCUACGGGAGGCAGCAGUAAGGAAUAUUGGUCAAUGGGCGGAAGCCUGAACCAGCCAUGCCGCGUGCAGGAUGACUGCCCUAUGGGUUGUAAACUGCUUUUGUCCAGGAAUAAACCUAGAUACGUGUAUCUAGCUGAAUGUACUGGAAGAAUAAGGAUCGGCUAACUCCGUGCCAGCAGCCGCGGUAAUACGGAGGAUCCGAGCGUUAUCCGGAUUUAUUGGGUUUAAAGGGUGCGUAGGCGGCCUAUUAAGUCAGGGGUGAAAUACGGUGGCUCAACCAUCGCAGUGCCUUUGAUACUGAUGGGCUUGAAUCCAUUUGAAGUGGGCGGAAUAAGACAAGUAGCGGUGAAAUGCAUAGAUAUGUCUUAGAACUCCGAU
RNAcentral lists this ribosomal RNA (700 nucleotides) under uncultured bacterium. Its description in RNAcentral is "bacterial SSU rRNA". It matches the Rfam family "Bacterial small subunit ribosomal RNA", at positions 24 to 713 of the family's 1533-position model. The record is from RNAcentral.